This 232-nucleotide ribosomal RNA is filed under the name uncultured bacterium. RNAcentral describes it as "partial 16S ribosomal RNA". It matches the Rfam family "Bacterial small subunit ribosomal RNA", at positions 118 to 350 of the family's 1533-position model. The record is from RNAcentral.
UGGGCAACCUGCCCCUAGCUCUGGGAUAACUGCGGGAAACUGUAGCUAAUACCGGAUGUGACACGAGACUGCAUGGUCUUCGUGUGGAAAGAUUUAUCGGCUAGGGAUGGGCCCGCGGUCUAUCAGCUUGUUGGUGGGUAACGCCUACCAAGGCGACGACGGGUAGCUGGUCUGAGAGGACGACCAGCCACACUGGAACUGAGAUACGGUCCAGACCUCCGUACGGGAGGCA